Non-coding RNA from Tarenaya hassleriana, 74 nucleotides. The record is from the annotation of a RefSeq genome assembly. NCBI's taxonomy places the organism in Eukaryota, Viridiplantae, Streptophyta, Magnoliopsida, Brassicales, Cleomaceae.
UCAACACUUAGCUCAGUUGGUAGAGCGGAGGACUGUAGAUCCUUAGGUCGCUGGUUCGAAUCCGGCAGGUCGGA